GGCACCAUUUCUUCUUCUUUAUUUUGGAAAAAAUACCCCUCGUGGGUGACGCAUUACACAAAUAUUGUGCAAGCGAAUUGACUUACCCCUCCCGACGUUUUGACAGUUUUGUUAUUUUGUUUCAUCUUUUCGCGUUUGUUUUGCUCAUUUUGUUUUUCGGUUAUAAAACAACAACUGGUCACUGUCACCAAUCCAAAAGUGUAAUUAUCACAACAGAAGCUUUUCGGAUGCAGCGAUCAAAAUGAUGAUUCUCCAGGACCGCCAACUGGCGAUGAUCUCUGCAGCCGCAAAGAACGAAUCAGAAUUUAAAGAGGAGCCUACGUAUUGCAAUAAUAGAACUAGCAGCAGUCGUGAACCGAUAAGUACUUCUCGGACCACAGCAAUUCCGGUAACACCCCCAACAGCAACGAACAUUUUACAACCUAUCAUAUCCAAGAAUAUCAUUUUGGACUAAUCUGGCAUUAAUUUCGGUUGAUUGGCGCGACAAAGAAGACGGUCCAGUUUACAUGAUAAAUGAUGUAUUGGUGGAACCAAAAACCAGAGCCUA
Molecule: long non-coding RNA, 547 nt
Organism: Armigeres subalbatus
Lineage: Eukaryota; Metazoa; Arthropoda; Insecta; Diptera; Culicidae
Exons: 3
Source: RefSeq, a predicted model, not a curated record